CAAAUGUGUGUGGGGCACUUAAAAGAAAAAUGUAUAACUUGUUUUAUAUAUACAAAAUAGAAGGCCAUUCUAAAAUAAAAAAGGAAGUAUGUUGCAAUCUUCUAAAGAAGUCAGUAAUUGUAAAAAUGGAGAGGGUGAAUGGUGGAUUUUUCCAGCCCUCAGUAAUGUGUUGUUCAAUCCUUAUGAAAUCAUUCUAAGCUUCAGUUUGACUGGAUUUCCUUUUUUCAUGUUGCAACAUAUUGUGAGAUAAUAUGUACGUUAUAGCUGUGGUUAGAGAAUAACUUUGCAUUAUAAAUACUGGAGCACUCUAAAGAAGUUACCAGUCUCAAACAGACUAACUUGUGAAACUGUUGAGGUAUUCUUUGCAUCAAGAUGUGGAAGAAGGGCAUUGCCUUGUUUUUUAUUGCAUCACUUGUGUUGCAGGCUACUCUUGCAGAUGCAGGUAAAAACAAUGAAGAUGUUAAUGAUCUUGAAUUACAAAAUGUGCCAAGAGGAAGAAGAUUUUGCUUUAACAUGUGCUUCAGAAGAAGAGGACGCAUAAUUUGCAUACGCCGUUGUAACCGUAGGGGCCCUAGCUUCAAGCCCAUGGAACCUGUGGUUUAUGAAGUUUAGAAGAUGAAAGUGGAAAAGAAAACGAGACCAUUUCUAAAAAUUCAGUGCCUGAAUUUACAUUUGUGUCUCCAUAGUAUGACUCCGAUUGUACAUGUUCAAACUUAAGAAUGGGUUCUUCCUCUAGAGAAUUAAUCUCUUUAAUGUAUUGCUUGUUCUAUUAAUUAAACCAAGAAGAGUUGUACUCAUCAAUCAUGUGUUGAAAGUUUACUUUGCUUUUAUGCUUAUUGUUUUAUACUUGCUAGAAUAUGAACAAAAUAUGAAAGGCUAACUGAAAACUAUAACAUACAAAUGCUUUUAUGUUUACUUGUAAUAAAGCAUUCAGAAAUA
Protopterus annectens (West African lungfish) is the source of this 939-nucleotide long non-coding RNA. RefSeq lists it as uncharacterized. The record is from RefSeq and is a predicted model, not a curated record. The transcript has 2 exons. Lineage: Eukaryota; Metazoa; Chordata; Ceratodontiformes; Protopteridae.